Molecule: long non-coding RNA, 9258 nt
Filed under: Capsicum annuum
Lineage: Eukaryota; Viridiplantae; Streptophyta; Magnoliopsida; Solanales; Solanaceae
Description: long non-coding RNA (CANN_LNC002273)
Source: RNAcentral
AAUUAUUUUUAAAGAAAAAAUCACAUAAUGUUUUUUAGUGUAAAAAGUGUGAAUUAUUUAAUCAAAUAUCUAAAUUAAUUUUAAUAUAAAUAUUAACGGCCUAAAUUUGCCUAAUACGUGGUAAGGAUUGUAUAAAUAAAGAACAUCCCCGCCCAACGCUCCAAAAAUAAAGAUUUCACUAUAAUUAAUAUUUGUACAAUGAUAAGAAUAAAAGAAAAUACAAAUACUAAAAAAAGUAAGCUCUUCUUUGAAUAUCAUUCCCGACGAGUAUUUCUAAGAACCUGUACAAACAUUUAUAAUAAAAAUAUUAGUAACAAAUAAAUAAUUAUCAAAAUAAAUGUAAAAGGUAUGUGUGCAUAUAUGUAUUUAAAAAUAUAAUUUUUUGCUAAAAGAUGGGCUCAAAUUAAAUUUUAGAUACACCAUGGCUACGAAGGGGUUGCUUAAUUUGUUGGCCGUCAUAAAUCGCCUUGCCAAGAUACGAUUCAUAAAAUCUUUUGUGUUUUAAUAAAAAUUUCGUCAUCGACCAAAUUUAUUUAUUUUAUUAUGUAUUUAUUUACGUAACAUCCGUCUUUUUAUUUGUGGAGGCCUCAGAAAUCGACAGAAAAAUUUCUUCAUCGGCCAUUUCAUAUAACAUUUGUUCAUUGUAAGUGUUAUAUCAAAUAAAAAAAUGAAUAGGAAGAAUUCCAAAAAAAAUCAGUCUAUAUUUUUCAGGAAUAAAUGUGAACAGUUGACAACACUAGUAAAAUAUCAACAAAUAUACGGAGUAGUCAAUAAACCCAAAAGGGCGAGACAAAUACCCAAAAUCAUAAACAGGUUCAUGGUCAAGCACCAUUCAUCAUAGAAGUCCACAAUGAUCACCAAUAAGAUUAGAAACACCAUAAUUUAAAGUUAACAAAGACAAUCAUAGACAGGACCAAACAAAUAAAUGAGCUAAAAAUGAGUUGUCGGAGUGAAAUUUUUUGAUUAGAUCUGGUGCGUCGAUGGUGGUGAACAUUAUUUCUAAAUAAUAAAUAAUAAAACAGAUGAGGUAGGGAGAGGACUAGCGGCGAUGGUGCGGCUGGAGGUUUGUGGGUUCGCUCGUCGGUAGCCAACUCCUGCGAAGCAACAGUGGAGAAAGAAAAGAGGGCAGCGAUAAUUGGUGUUGCUGGAUCGACACUAGUUAAACCGGUGGAAGGAGAUGAUGGGGAGAAAGAACGAAGGAGAAGAGAGAAGAGAGGAGGAGUGGUUGAAGGCUAGUGGUGGUGCGGUGAUUCUCCGACUGGAAUAUUGCCGUAGAAGGUGGGCAACGGUUGUUUAUGUGGGAGACGAGAAGAUGUGGCUGUGCAUAAAUUGUGUGUGUGAAUGUGUAUUUGUGUUAAAGUGUGUAUUGUAUAUGUUAAAACAAAAAUUAACCCCCCUUCCUUCUUAUAAUAAAAAUUGAUCCUCUCAAUUAUCCAAAAAAUAAAAAAUUGACCUCUCUUGUCUCCUCAAAAUUUCUUUUAAUCCGAAAGUUAUUUACCGAAAAAUUUUACAUCCUUUUAACCUGUGUAUAAAAAUUAUUUAUUCAACGGAUGAAAAUCUCAACCCGUCACUUCAAACAUCAACUUUUAAAAAGUGACGAGACCUUGACCUGACUGAUUUAUUGCUCUUUGUAUAAAAAUAAUUGAGCCGACAUUAUCGUUUGCAGAUUGUAUUAAAUAAGGUACAAAAAUAUGAAUGUCGAUGUAUAAUUACAGAAAAAUGUAAACAACAAAUAAAAUACAAUUAUCUUUGAAAAAUGUAUUGUCCUAUAAACAAUUAAAAUUAUAAUUAUGUAAAAAAGAAUUGUAGUGUUAUGUUAUGUAUGUAUGUAGAUGACUGUGUAAAAAAUAUUAAAAUGAUAUCAAACUGAUAAAAAUUCUAAAAUAAUAAAAUUAAGGAUAAUUAUAUAAAAAUUAAUAUAUGACAAUAUAGUACUAAAAAUUCUAAAAUAAUGACAAUUAUCAAUAAUUUGUUAAAAAAUAUAAAAAUAUGUAUAAAAUUUUAUUUUGUGCCCUUUAACUAUCACAAAACCUAAAACCGUUAAUUUAGGCACGGAGAGUCAAAAUUGAGUGUCAAAAUUUUGCCCCUUUUCGUUUGAAGAUGAUGUAGAAGUCUUCAGACGAAAACAUUGACGUGUAGCCAAUUUUGCUCAACAAAAAUAUUUUGAUAAAGAAAUUCGACUGAACUCUGCAUAGAUUUGCCUACAUACUUUGAGUUGUAUGAGGAUCAGGUCAGGUAUAGUUCAGGUCGGGUAUAGUUCAAAAGAUUAGGCAAAUUUCCCUAUUAUUAAGGGUAAAACACCGUGUGAAAUAAUUAAUGAAAUAUGGACUAAUUGGGAACAAAAGUGUUUAUCUAUUCCCUAUGCCUCUUUCAAAAUUGCCAGUAUCGAACUGUGAGAUGCUGGGAUGCAAGAUUCUGUACUUACUGGGGAGAAAGAACAAUUAUGAUUGUGAUGAUCAAACUUCAAAUAGAGCUUUCUAUAUAUCUCGAGUGUCACGAGAAUCAGGUCAAUGUAGUUCAAAAUGAGAAAAAUAGGAUAAGUUUGAGGCGAUUCUCAAAAUUGGCCACAUUAUAUGAUUCAUGGCUAAAACUAUCUUAUGGAAAAGAAAUGUCUUAUUGUGGAUUAUAUUUCCAACUGAAAAGAUGUAUGACAUCUCCGAUUGUCUACGGGGACUUGAGGAUGAAUGAUGUCUCUGAUUGUUUACGGAGACUGGUGUGAUGAAUAAAAGAUGUCUGUGAUUAUCUAAGGAGACUAUGUGAUGAAUGAAAGAUGGAUUCGAUUGUAUACAGACUAUAUGAUGAAUAAUAGUUGUCUUUGAUUGUCUACUAAGACUAUGUGAUGAAUAAAAAAUAUCUCUGAUUGUCUACAGAGACUUGAUGACACUCUAAUUGUCUAUGAAGACGGAUGUUGAUUGUUGUAUCCAAUUUUCUACAGAGACUAAUGUUGAAUGAUGAUGUCUUCGAUUGUAUAGAAGACUUGAUGACAUCUUCAGUUGUCUAUGGGGAUGGAUGUUGAUUGGCGUCUCUGAUUGUCUACAGAGACUAAUGGUGAAUGAUGAUGUCUUCGAUUGUCUAUGAAGACUAUGAACAAAAGAUGUCUCCAAUUGUCUUCAGAGAUUUAAUGGAUGAUAUCUCCAAUUGUCUAUGGAGACUGAUAUUAAUUGUCAUCUUUGAUUGUCUACGAAGACUGACAAAUGACAUCUCCAAUUGUCUAUGGAGACUGAUGUUGAUUGUCGUCUUUGAUUGUCUACGAUGACUGAUGGAUAAUAUCUCUAAUUGUCUAUGAAGACUGAUGGAUGACAUCUCCAAUUAUCUAUAGAGAUUGAUGUUGAUUUGUCCUCUCCAAUUUUCUACGAAGACUAUGUGAUGAAUAAAAAAUAUCUCCAAUUAUCUACGGUGACUUGAUGACAUCUCCAAUUAUCUAUGGAGACGGAUGUUGAUUGUUGUCUCCGAUUGUCUACAAAGACUGAUGUUAAAUGAUGAUGUCUUCGAUUGUAUAUGAAGACUUAAUGAUAUCUCCAGUUGUCUAUGGAGAUGGAUGUAUGACAUCUCCAAUUAUCUAUGGAGACUGAUGAUAAACGACGCCUUCGAUUGUCUAUAGAGACUAUGUCAUGAAUGAUGUCUUCGAUUAUCUAUGAAGACUAUGUCAUGAAUGUUUUCUUCGAUUGUAUACGAAGACUAUGUGUGAUAUCUCCGAUUGUCUACAGAGAUGAAUGUGGAUUUUUGUCUCCGAUUGUCUACGGAGAUUGGUGUUGAAUGAUGAUGUCUUUGAUUGUAUAUGAUACUUGAUGACAUCUCCAAUUGUCUAUGGAGAUAGAUGCAUGAUAUCUCCAAUUGUCUAUGGAGACUGAUGUUGAUUUUCAUCUUCAAUUGUCUAUGAAGACUGACAGAUGAUUGUCGCCUCCAAUUAUCUAUGAAGACUAUGUAUGAUACCUCCGAUUGUCUACAGAGACUUGAUGACGUCUCUGAUUGUCUACAAAGACUGUCUCAUGAAUGAUGUCUUUGGUUGUCUAUGAAGACUUAUGUUGAUUGUAUCUCUGAUUAUCUACGAAGACUUGAUAAUAAAAUGACACCUCUUAUUCUCUACAGAUGAAUGUUGUCUUUGAUUGUCUACGAAGAAUAUGUUGAUUGUCAUCUCCGAUUGUUUACUAAGGCUAUGUGAUGAUUGAAAGAUGUCUUCGAUUGUCUACGAAGACUAUGUUGAUUGUUGCAUAAUAUCCCCAGUUGUCUACGGAGACUGAUGUUGGUUGUCGUCUUCGAUUGUCUACAAAGACUGAGACCCUCAACUAAUAAGGUGACCAAAAUCUAAUAGCCUUUUCGACGGGAAGGGCUAUUGAAAUGUAAAAAGUUCUCGAUUAAGAGAAUGAAUGUAAUAGCCUCUCGACUGACGGGGUUGUAAAAAAUGUAAAAUACAGGUAUUUAAAGGUAUGUUCCUGAAAGAAAAAGACAAAAUGUCCGUAUUUAAAAAUCGGGAGCCUUAAAUAAAAAUAAAAAAAUACAUAAAUGUGAAAGUAGGUACCUUUAAUGAAAGGUAAAAAAGAAUGUUCGUAUGUGAAAAUGAGCGUCUUCAAAAAUGAAAGAAUUUUUUAUAUUUUCUUGACAAAAGUGUUGAAAGACAAAGAAGACACGGUCGUGUCUUGACUUCAAUUGGUACCAAUAAUUAGUAGUGUACAUAAGAAUUCUCCCAUCUCUUUCCCAACUAACCGAGAUCGACUUCUGGGUAACUCUUAUAGUUUCAAGUGGUACCUAAGACAUACCUAAGUAUCGACAAGAUUUAUUCGUCUUGUUUCAAAUAAAGGUUUUAUGAAACUACACCUAACCUCAUGCUUCAAGUGCCCUCUCCAGAAAGAAAGUCUCAUUUCACAUAUAUUUGAGUAAGAUUUUGAUUUGGGGACGUCAAAAGAAAUACACUCACACUCAAAAAGAAAUUCAAUGCAUGCAGUUGGGAUACCACAGGCUUGACCUUCAUGUAAGUAUCCAAUAAUGUGAGAACACUUGGAAUAGGAUCCUGUAGGUAUUGUUACUGUCUUGUAAUAUAGGUUUGGAGGCAGGUAGGAUGAUAUUUGGGAUGAAAGUGACUAAUUCCUCAAUGAGCGUUGCACUGUACCUGUGCUUUCAAUAUUUGUUGCACUUUGACGUGUGAUCUUCUUUGUUGUCCUUCUUUGACCUUUGUUUUUGUAUAUGCUUCGACUUCUUUUGAAUCUUGUGUUAAAAUUUUCCCCUUUUUUUCAAGAAAUUAUAUAUUUUUUUGUUCUUUUUUUCUUUUCUCCUUUUUUGUGGGGGAUUUGCUCCUUUUGAAGACGUUUUUUUUAUUUUGUUCUUCUAGGACACUAUAUCUUUUGCAUUUUGCGUCUUUGAUCUUGAAUCUUCAUCCACGAUUUGCACGUAUUUAGAGCACUCAAGGAGGUAGGGCCAAAAGAAGGACAGUGCAUGUAAGCACUCAAAAAGGUAUAGGCACAGAUGUGGUUGCCCAAAGAAAAGGUUUUAGGCUCAAAAAAGAAAAUGCUAAGGAUUAAUGUCAUUUGGUGGGAUGUGAAAGGCUCAAUCAGGUCAAAUAAGGCCUACAAUCCUUUCCUAAACCAAGUAUAUCUCAGAAUUUCGCCUCAACAAACAUUUAGGACAAGUUCAAGAUCAACAUUGCAAUGCAAUGAAUUAAACUAAAGCUCACCACAGAAUGCACAUUAAAUGCUGAGGUUGGUUUCGUUCUUGUCUUAGAUUUAUGCAAGAGAAUUUUUCAAGUGUUACUCGGGUGUGAUAAAAGAUACCAAAAGAAUCUAUGGUUUAUUAUGAAGUCGGUCCUUUUCAUCAUACCAAUUUGUUCUUUCUCAUGCACACUCCUAACUGUAUUGGUACCAACUAAGUCAAAAUUAUUUUUUUAUUUAGAAAAGAAAUGGGACUGAACCUAAAUGAGGGUUGCCUACGUAUCUUGUGAAUACAAGAAUCAGGUCUGCGUAGUUCAGGAAAAUUUGUGAAUUUGUAUGUGCAAUGUAUGAUUGUAAAAAAAUGAUGGUCAUUCUCGAAAAUAAUAUGAAAGGCGAUCAGGAAAGAAUUAUUUUUAACAUCAAAAUUAUUCUGAUCAAAUGAUCGAGAGAAUGGAUGUCAUGCAUAAGGAGAGCUUUGACACAACUUCAGUAUACUGACAAGAUUGAAAAAGUCAAACACUAAAGAAAUUACGACAUUAUUUCGCCGCAGUUGGCAAGAUUAUUAUAACUGAAAAAAUAUAUAAUCCUUGCGUUUGAAAGUAAGGAUCGAUACACCAUAAAUUUAAUGGUUUAUGAUGUUCGAAAUAAGAAGUUAGAUAUUUUCGCAUCAAAAUUGGGUGAGUAUCUGGAGGUAGGCCGACUGGACACUAAUGUAAUUAAGAUUUGGAUUUGAGGAGUUAUUGAUUUGCGCUCUUGAAGAAUUUUGGAGAGCGGUUUUUAACUAUUUCAGAAAAUUUCACCAUUUUUAAAUACCGGAGAAAUCAUUCUGAAAUAAUGAAAAGACUGAACCCUAAUGUAGGGUUGCCUAUAUAUCUUGUCAGGAUAAGAAUCAGGUUAAAACGUAGUUCAAACCUAUACGCAGUUAGUGCGAUGUUGGUAAGGUGUAUCUUUUAACAGAUCAACCAUGCAAAACAAAAAUUAGAUUACAUCUUCCCACAAAAGAAUAAAUAAUUUUGAAUAAAUAAAUAUGUAUAGACACAAUAAUCCUUCAAAUAUGUACAAGGACUAUAAUAAUGUGUUACGUGAGUUGUGAACCCUUCGAACAUAAAGUAGACUAAUGAUGCAUAUGCAUAAAAAGGUGUUGUUUUAUCUCUAUCCUAUGUUCGACUAAGAGUGAGUGUGCUAGACCUGUGGUUCUCGAGCGAACUACUCGAGUGAGAAGGUUAUGCAGGUACACAGAAAAAGAUCCGGAUACCCCGCGCAUACGCCAUCUCUCCUGAAAUUUAGGAUUUUGAAAGAAAUUUGUGGGUGCGCAAAACACACAUCACUUGUAUGUGUGAUUAUGUCAGCUUUCCCAAAUGGAAGAAAUAUGAACGGAAUGAUAGUUUAUAUAAAGCAAUAAACUGCAAAAUAAAUCAAAUAAAUAAUCUAUGCCACACAAAUAGGAUAAAUCAAGAUAAUUAGAAAGAAACAAAUAAUAAUGUAUAAAAAUAUAAAUAUUUACCUAAAUCUGUAAUGGUUAGAACCUUGCUAGUCUCCAGCAGAGUCGUAAAACUAUCAUACCCAAUGUUUACCUAAGGUCAAAACAAACACGACAUUCUAGACUAAAAAAAAAUUAAUUUUGUACGAAGUCACCACCUAAUUUUUAAGAAAAAAUAGGAAACCUACUUAUUUAUUAACAAGUAUGCCUUUAUUUAAUGUACGAAACCAGUUUGAAUUCUAGGUCAGGGUUCAAAUUAUUCCGAAGGGAGGGAUUAGGCACCCUUCAGAAUCCACAAAUAUGGUACCUGACCAGCCUUAGGUUUAUUAUUAAAAGAUAAAAAGAAAAAUCAAUGUUUGAAAAUACAAAAAUAAUAUAAUACAUAUGUUUAUUGUAAAAUGUAUAUAUAAACGCACUUAAAGAUGUAUAAACAAACGUAUAUAAGGAUAUAUAUAAAAAAAAAAAUUGAAUAACAAAACAAAUUGUUUUUAAAGAAAAAUUUACAUAAUAUUUUUUAGUGUAAAAAGUGUGAAUUAUUUAAUCAAAUAUCUAAAUUAAUUUUAAUCUAACUAUUAACAGCCUAAAUUUGCUUAACACGUGGUAAGGAUUGUAUAAAUAAAGAACAUCCCCACCCAGCGCCCCAAAAAUAAAGAUUUCACUAUAAUUAAUAUUUGUACAAUGAUAAGAAUAAAAGAAAAUACAAAUACAAAAAAAUUCAAGCUCUUCUUUGAAUAUCAUUCCCGGCGAGUAUUCUCGAGAACCUGUAAAGAAAUUAUAAUAAAAAUAUUAGUAACAAAUAAAUAAUUAUCAAAAUAAAUUUAAAAGAUAUGUGUGCAUAUAUGUAUUUAAAAAUAUAAUUUUUUGCUAAAAGAUGGGCUCGAAUUAAAUUUUACAUACGCCAUGGCUACGAAGUGGUUGCUCAAUUUGCUGGUUGUCCUAAAUCGUCUUGCCAAGAUACGAGUCAUAAAAUCUUUUGCGUUGUAAUAAAAAUUUCAUCAUUGACCAAAUUUAUUUAUUUUAUUAUGUAUUUAUUUACGUAACAUCCGUCUUUUUAUUUGUGGAGGCCUCAGAAAUCGGCAAAAAAAUUUCUUCAUCGGCCAUGUCAUAUAACAUUUGUUCAUUGUAAGUGUUAUAUCAAAUAAAAAAUAAAUAGGAAGAAUUCCAAAAACAAUCAGUCCAUAUUUUUCAGGAAUAAAUGUGAACAGUUGACAACAACUAAUAAAAUAUUAAAAAAGAAUCAAUAAAUAUACGGAGCAGUCAAUAGAUCCAAAAGGGUGAGACAGAUACCCAAAAUCAUAAACAGGUUCAUGGUCAAGCACCAUUCAUCAUAGAAGUCCACAAUGAUCACCAAUAAGAUUAGAAAUACCAUAAUUUAAAGUUAACAAAGACAACCAUAGACAAGACCAAACAAAUAAACGAGCUAAAAAUGAAUUAUCGGAGUGAAAUUUUUUGAUCAGGUCUAGUGCGUUGAUGGUGGUGAACAUCAUUUAUAAAUAAUAAAUAAUAAAACAGAUGAGGUAGGGAGAGGACUAGCGGCGGUGGUGCGGCUAGAGGUUUGUGGAUUCGCUUACCGGUGGCUAACUCCGGUAAAGCAACAGUGGAGAAGGAAAUGGGGUGGCGGCAAUUGGUGUUGCUGGAUCGGCACUGGUUAAAUCAGCGGGAAGCGGCGACGGGGAGGAAGAACAGAGGUGAAUAGAGAAGAGAGGAGGAGUGGUUGAAGGCUAGUGGUGGUGCGGUGAUUCUCCAGCUGAAAUGUGGCCGAAGAAGGUGGGCAACGACUUUUUUUGUGGGAGAUGAGAAGAUGUGGGUGUGCGUAAAUUGUGUGUGUGGAUGUGUAUUUGUGUUAAAGUGUGUAUUGUAUAUGUUAAAACAAAAAUUAACCCCCUCCCUUCUUAUAAUAAAAAUUGACCCUCUCAAUUGUCCAAAAAAUAAAAAAAUUGACCUCUCUUGUCUCCUCAAAUCUUCUUUUAAUACGAAAGUUAUUAACCGAAGAAUUUUACAUCCUUUUAACCUAUAUAUAAAAAAUAUUUAUUCAACGGAUGAAAAUCUCAAUCCGUCACUUCAAACAUCAACUUUUAAAAAGUGACGAGACCUUGACCUGACUGAUUUAUUGCUCUGUGUAUAAAAAUAAUCGAG